AACAAACGCUGGCGGCGUGCCUAACACAUGCAGGUCGAGCGAUUUACUUCGGUAAAGAGCGGCGGACGGGUGAGUAACGCGUGGGUAACCUGCCCUGUACACACGGAUAACAUACCGAAAGGUAUGCUAAUACGAGAUAAUAUGCUUUUAUCGCAUGGUAGAAGUAUCAAAGCUCCGGCGGUACAGGAUGGACCCGCGUCUGAUUAGCUAGUUGGUAAGGUAACGGCUUACCAAGGCGACGAUCAGUAGCCGACCUGAGAGGGUGAUCGGCCACAUUGGAACUGAGACACGGUCCAAACUCCUACGGGAGGCAGCAGUGGGGAAUAUUGCACAAUGGGCGAAAGCCUGAUGCAGCAACGCCGCGUGAGUGAUGAAGGCCUUCGGGUCGUAAAGCUCUGUCCUCAAGGAAGAUAAUGACGGUACUUGAGGAGGAAGCCCCGGCUAACUACGUG
Molecule: ribosomal RNA, 452 nt
Filed under: uncultured bacterium
Lineage: Bacteria
Description: bacterial SSU rRNA
Rfam family: Bacterial small subunit ribosomal RNA
Source: RNAcentral